This 426-nucleotide ribosomal RNA is filed under the name Succinea caduca. RNAcentral describes it as "partial 16S ribosomal RNA". The record is from RNAcentral. Lineage: Eukaryota; Metazoa; Mollusca; Gastropoda; Stylommatophora; Succineidae.
CAGUUUUAGAUUUUCUGCUAUGAAUUUAAUGGCCGCAGUACUUUGACUGUGCUAAGGUAGCAUAAUCAAUUGUCUCUUAAUUGGAGACUAGAAUGAAUGAAUUUAUGGUUAAAUUCUUUAUUUAUAUAUUUUAUUAAAAUUUAUUUAUUAGGUGAAAAUACCUAAAUAAUUUUAUUAGACGAGAAGACCCCAGGAAUUUAAUUAUUUUUUUUAUUGGGGCGAUAUCUAAACAUAACAAGAACUUUAGAUUUUUAUAAUAAAACGAAAGAUUUUUAAUUAAAAAUAAAUUACCCUGGGGAUAACAGCAUAAUUUUUUAUAAAGAUUGUGACCUCGAUGUUGGAUUAGAAAAAAAUUUUACUUAAAGAGUAAUUUUUUAUGUUCUGUUCGAACAAUAAUAAUUUUUCUACAUGAUCUGAUCACAAACC